UUUAAGGUCUAACCUGCCCAAUGAGGAUUUAAAUGGCCGCAGUAUUUUGACUGUGCAAAGGUAGCAUAAUUAUUAGUUUUUUAAUUGAAAGCUUGUAUGAAGGGUUGGACGAAAUAAAAUCUGUCUCUAUUUAAAUUAAAGUAGAAUUUAACUUUUAAGUCAAAAGGCUUAAAUUUAUAUAAAAGACGAGAAGACCCUAUAGAUCUUAAUUUAAUUAAUAUUUUAAUGUAUUAGGAUUAUUUAAAUUUAAAAUUUUAAUUAAAUUUUAUUGGGGUAAUAUAAAGAUUAAAUAAAUUCUUUUUAUUAAAAACAUUGAUUUAUGAAUAUAUGAUCCAUUAUUAUUGAUUAUAAGAUUAAGUUACCUUAGGGAUAACAGCGUAAUUUUUUUGGAGAGCUCUUAUCGAUAAAAAGGUUUGCGACCUCGAUGUUGGAUUAAAAAUUAGCUUGGGUGUAGAAGUUCAAGUUCUUGGUCUGUUCGACCAUUAAAUUUUUACAUGAUCUGAGUUCAGACCGGCGUGAGCCAGGUCGGUUUCUAUCUUUAUUUAAUAAAAAUAUUUUAGUACGAAAGGACCAAAUAUUUAAUAUAAUAAUAUUUAAACUUUGAAUAAUAUUAUUACUUUGGCAGAAUAGUGCAAUGAAUUUAGAAUUCAUGAAUGUAAUAUUUAUUACAGGUAAUACUUGUAUUUGGGAGAUUUGUUGCUUAUGGUAUUGUGUAUAAUUAUUUUAGUAGUUUGUGUAUUAGUGGGAGUAGCUUUUUUAACCUUACUUGAACGUAAAGUAUUGGGUUAUAUUCAAAUUCGA
This 801-nucleotide ribosomal RNA is filed under the name Euzona tetragramma. Its description in RNAcentral is "partial 16S ribosomal RNA". The stretch from base 1 to 563 matches the Rfam family "Bacterial large subunit ribosomal RNA", at positions 1844 to 2925 of the family's 2925-position model. Lineage: Eukaryota; Metazoa; Arthropoda; Insecta; Coleoptera; Carabidae. The record is from RNAcentral.